Juglans microcarpa x Juglans regia is the source of this 105-nucleotide small nucleolar RNA. RefSeq annotates it as small nucleolar RNA snoR97. The transcript has a single exon. The record is from RefSeq and is a predicted model, not a curated record. NCBI's taxonomy places the organism in Eukaryota, Viridiplantae, Streptophyta, Magnoliopsida, Fagales, Juglandaceae.
GCCCCCUAAUGGGUCUAGGGUCUGAAAAACUCGGAAAUUCUGUGUGGUCAUCAGCUUCUUCUCUUGUACAUUACGAGACUGGAGUUAAAUAACGGCACUAUAUUC